AAUGAACGCUGGCGGCAUGCCUUACACAUGCAAGUCGAACGGCAGCAUGACCUAGCUUGCUAGGUUGAUGGCGAGUGGCGAACGGGUGAGUAAUGCAUCGGAACGUGCCUUUUAGUGGGGGAUAACGUAGCGAAAGUUACGCUAAUACCGCAUAUUCUCUGAGGAGGAAAGCAGGGGACCUUCGGGCCUUGCGCUAGAAGAGCGGCCGAUGUCGGAUUAGCUAGUUGGUGAGGUAAAGGCUCACCAAGGCAACGAUCCGUAGCGGGUCUGAGAGGAUGAUCCGCCACCCUGGGACUGAGACACGGCCCAGACUCCUACGGGAGGCAGCAGGGGGGAAUUUUGGACAAUGGGCGCAAGCCUGAUCCAGCCAUGCCGCGUGAGUGAAGAAGGCCUGCGGGUUGUAAAGCUCUUUCGGCUGGGAAGAAAUCGCACCCUCUAAUACAGGGUGUGGAUGACGGUACCAGCAUAAGAAGCACCGGCGAACUACGG
Molecule: ribosomal RNA, 489 nt
Filed under: uncultured bacterium
Lineage: Bacteria
Description: partial 16S ribosomal RNA
Rfam family: Bacterial small subunit ribosomal RNA
Source: RNAcentral